Molecule: ribosomal RNA, 253 nt
Filed under: uncultured bacterium
Lineage: Bacteria
Description: partial 16S ribosomal RNA
Rfam family: Bacterial small subunit ribosomal RNA
Source: RNAcentral
UACGUAGGGCGCAAGCGUUAUCCGGAAUUAUUGGGCGUAAAGAGCUCGUAGGCGGUUUGUCGCGUCUGCCGUGAAAGCCCGAGGCUCAACCUCGGAACUGCCUUCGAUACUGCGGGUCUCGAGUCCGGGAGAGGUGAGUGGAAUUCCUAGUGUAGAGGUGAAAUGCGUAGAGAUGUGGAGGAACACCAGUGGCGAAGGCGACUCUUUGGUCUGUAACUGACGCUGAGGCGCGAAAGCGUGGGGAGCAAACAGG